RNAcentral lists this unclassified non-coding RNA (237 nucleotides) under uncultured fungus. Its description in RNAcentral is "sequence contains ITS1, 5.8S rRNA gene". The stretch from base 189 to 237 matches the Rfam family "5.8S ribosomal RNA", at positions 1 to 49 of the family's 154-position model. Lineage: Eukaryota; Fungi. The record is from RNAcentral.
UCUCCGUUGGUGAACCAGCGGAGGGAUCAUUACAGAGUUGUAAAACUCCCAAACCCAUGUGAACAUACCUGUUGCCUCGGUGGCCUACCCGGUAGCUACCCUGUAGCUACCCUGCAGAGGCCGCCGCCGGUGGGAAUUUAAACUAUUGCCAUGUAUUGUCAUCUGAGAGUCUUAUGAGAAUAAGUCAAAACCUUUAACAACGGAUCUCUUGGUUCUGGCAUCGAUGAAGAACGCAGC